This 398-nucleotide ribosomal RNA is filed under the name uncultured bacterium. RNAcentral's name for it is "bacterial SSU rRNA". It matches the Rfam family "Bacterial small subunit ribosomal RNA", at positions 355 to 751 of the family's 1533-position model. The record is from RNAcentral.
UCGAGAAUCUUCGGCAAUGGGCGCAAGCCUGACCGAGCGACGCCGCGUGCGGGACGAAGGCCGUUGUGUUGUAAGCCGCUGUCAGGGGGGAGGAAAUGUCAGCCCUCAGGGUUGGCUUGACCUAUCUCCAGAGGAAGGACGGGCUAAGUCCGUGCCAGCAGCCGCGGUAAGACGGACCGUCCGAACGUUACUCGGAAUUACUGGGCUUAAAGGGUGCGUAGGCGGCUUUGCAAGUCGGGUGUGAAAGCCCUCGGCUUAACCGAGGAAUUGCAGUAGAAACAGCGAGGCUCGAGGAAGAUAGAGGUGGACGGAACUUGCGGUGGUGCGGUGGAAUGAGUUGAUAUCGCAAGGAACACCGGAGGCGAAAGCGGCUCACUGGGUCUUUCCUGACGCUGAGG